AUGGCUGUAUCAUGGGCUCCGUCAUGGCUGUGUCAUGGGCUCCGUCAUGGGCUCCGUCAUGGCUGUAUCAUGGGCUCCGUCAUGGCUGUGUCAUGGGCUUCGUCAUGGCUGUGUCAUGGGCUUCGUCAUGGCUGUGUCAUGGGCUUCGUCAUGGCUGUGUCAUGGGCUACAUGUUUGACUCCCGUCACUCAGGAUUCCAUUGACGUAUCACCCCACUGUCACAACCCCCCCACUGACAUUUCGGCUAACCGGCCCAUUCUGCGCUCCUUGUUUACAUGUUGGCUCGUGGCGGCGCGCUGGUUAGCUGCCUGGCCGGAUGCCGGGCCACUUUUAGGUCAUGUGUCAGUGCAAAGACGUGCGUUGGGAUCUGCUGUCCGGCUCUGCUGCUGCGUGGUCGCCCGGCGGUGCAGAGGAGUAACUCAGCUGUUGGUCCACAAACCCCAAAUUGGGAGUAACUGUUGUGUUGUUUAUGACAAAAGCCCGCUGCUGACACGUAUUAUUUACCUUUGUGAUGUCGAGGAGAUUAAAGACUCCUGUGAACAAAUAGCUGGUUCUAAUUGUGGUGGAGGACACGUAGAGGACUGUAGGUCUGUAAUUGGAGGCUUUUUGGCUCACGUCCUGUUUGAGUAGUGGCAGCGUUUAACUAGAUUUCCUGUUUAGGUUUUGUCUUCCUCACUGGGGUUGAAUGUCAGGCUCAGCGGUCAGCUGUACCUCACCUUCUUUCUUGGGGAACGAAUCAAGGAAAAGUUCUUCAGGGAAAUUCUCGAUGGACCUCAUCCCAUCACAGGACCAGUAACGGAAGCUGCAGCCUCCCGAGGGAUGAAAACACACCGGGUCACGUUUCAACUGUUUAUCUGUUGGUUACUUUAGAAGUCCAACAAAAGUGAAUCAAUGAAUCGUUUGCCAUUUAUGUAAAAAUGAGGGUUCCAGUUUUCUCAAAGUCAUUGAAAAUGAAAGUGAAAUGCCUUCUGUGUUUUGGAGCGUGGCUGGCUUUGUCUUCGACGUUGAACAUUUUGAUGAGCCCUUGGAGAUAAUGCACGUGUGCAUGGAACAACUGUGGGGUAAUUUGUUGUGAUUUCUUUAGCUUUCCGGGCAGACCAGGCACAGGAAGUGCUUCUCAAACCGUUAAAAUCAACAACGAAUUUAGUCUUUGCAAAGAACAACGAUGUCCAUAUUUAUUAGAGCAGGGAAAUGAGAUGCGAUCACAUGGUCAUUUGUUCAUGUUCUAUUCCUAACCCUCGACUUAAAGCCAUUUCUCUGUUUCUCCAGGCUGAGCGAGACUGAUUAUGGGCAAACGUUCAGUCCUGCAGGCAACUGAAUCUCCACCGGCCCUGCGGUGACUCCCGAUCCAAGACCAGCAUCAAACCAGCGGAGACGAAGCACACAGGCUCCAGCAAUGGGAGGACAGAGAUCUCCUGCACCACCUCACCCUAGAUGCCGCCGAGCAGUCGGUCCAACGUCGUCUCGCGGCCGAGAUCCCGCCGCCGCUUGCUAACUGGCCGGCAAAUGUUUGUCCAAACCGUUCGCCUGAAGGAGCUUUGAAAGAAGGAAGACGUUGACUGCGAGCGCUUCACGCGGUCGGGCCUGUGGUCAUGGGGAAGGAACAGGAUCUGCUGGUGGCGGUGAAGACCGGAGAUCUGCUGCUGGCCCACAAGCUCCUCUCCAAAGUCAAGUGCAACAAAACCAGUGAGUACGGCGCUGCCCGGGGUGAAGGGCGUUCAUGGUGGGGUGGGAGUUCCCUCGUUUACAUAGAACUUUUCGUCUGGACGAUCUGCUGAGUGGAAUCAAGCUGCGGAACAACGCAUGCUAAUGUGUUGAGCGCGGGUCCUUUUCCUCAGCGCUUAUCGCCGUGUGCUCCGCGGGCUGUAAGCUGUACAGUAACAUUGUUUGGAGGCGCCGGCGCUCUGCCAAGCGGAGGCCGGAGCGGGCCGUGAAGUCGGAGUCUCUUUGUGGCGUUAUCUGUUCUGGCUUUCAUCGGCACGGCUGGCGGCCCGGUGACGAGCUCGGGGGACAAAGCCGCGGCUGUCAGGGAACAUUUCAAAGUGAUAUUAUCUGCUUCUGUGCGUUGGAAACCAACGAACGGGCUCUGGCAAAAUGAGGCGGGUUGAAAGUGCUCUUUUUUUUUAUGCUGCCACCGAGGUGCCCUUAAGCAAGGCACCCUCAUUCGUUUUGGAUGAGCGGCUCGGUAGCAAUACGAAAAGCCAGCUGUAGACAUAUAGAAAUAUAUACAAAAUAGAUGUUUUAAUCAAUGGAAAAUAAAUAAUACAGAGAUCGUUCUUCUGUAAUGAAGGAACCAGAUUAAUGAUCAAUAUUCAAGCUGCUUUCAGGCCGGACACUGGCAGGAGGGGGGAGGAGUGUGUGUGGGGUGGAGGGGUCCACAUGCAUGUCUGUGCAUCACAUGCAUCCCUCCAGUAGCUGGUGAGAUCGCUCCGUGUGGAUCUAAACACACCUUGUUUUUGUUUUGCACUUUGUCCCAAGAGCAACAGUGUUGCCGUGACGUUUGGUUUACUUUGGACCACGGUCGUCAUGGUUCCCAGAUAAAGAGCGGGGCUUUUUGCGCUCCCACAACCCCCCCCCCCCCCAGUGGUUCCCAAACCGUUUCUCUUGAACCCCCCCCGGUGAUGACAGAGAAACAUUGAAGAUAUCGACUCAAGAUACUUGAUCAUCACGUUGAAUGUUUCAUGGAGACUUUCAUGCUUUUAUGGGAUAAAUCGUAAUAUGCCAGUUUGCUCCGGUCACCCACAGGACAAACCUUACACUUUAUUUCCGCGGUCAGUGAACAACAAUGUUUGUUCCAACACAUUUGUCAUCAUUUGGGAGUGUGUUCUGUGACCUCGGGCGCUCCAGCGUCUCUCUGCAAACAAACCCAACUGGCACACAAGCGAGCGCCUCCGGGGAGGUCGCAGCGGCCGAGCCUCGGGCCGGGCUGCAGCUUCCAUCCCUGUUCAGGAAGCGGGGGCGCAUCUCGGGGGUCUACGAGGUACCAAGCCCGUGGUGGACGGACAAGAACGCAGAGUUGGUCCAGCUGGGUGUGUCGGGCACUUGUGUGUAGAUCCAGCAGAGGAAAUGAUGCUUCCAGUUUGUGCUGCAAACUGCUUCUGUUCUUCUGUCCAGUGUAUCAGAUUAAAACAUUCAUCCCCGUUGGCGCGGCAGCGGCCACGAGGUCCUCUCCGUUUUGUGUUCAUCUCCAGUAAGUGAAGCGUGUCGUGGUUCACUGGCUUUACACACACAUACGUUCACUCAUCCGACGGCCCACUAUGUUGGUCGGUCAAAGGCGCCGUUUCUCCCACACUGAGCGAGGGCCGCAGGAGGAGAGGGGCCCCGAGCCGCCGUGGGGCCAAAGCUCACUUAAGGUCCCAAUAUCUGAUGCUUGAAGUCCGUUCUUCCAAGAUGUAUACGUAUGUAAAAUUGAUCUAGAGUACUGAAAAGUCUCAAUUUAUUUACAGAUUUGCUGAUUUUCGUUGCCUCACAUUAUGGAGCCAUUUCUCUAAAAGGACCUGUCCUCACAAUAAUUAUGCAAAACAAUCGAAUUUCCUGAGUUUACUCUCUGUUCCGACCAAUAAUUGGUAAAGAAACUACUAAUUUGUUCAAAUCCGUGGUUUUCUGGCAACAUGGACCCCCCAUG
This is a long non-coding RNA of Gasterosteus aculeatus (three-spined stickleback), 3625 nucleotides long. NCBI's taxonomy places the organism in Eukaryota, Metazoa, Chordata, Actinopteri, Perciformes, Gasterosteidae. The record is from Ensembl.